AGCAGCCGCGGUAAUUCCAGCUCCAAUAGCGUAUAUUAAAGUUGUUGCAGUUAAAAAGCUCGUAGUUGAAUUUCGGGAUCGACGGGUCGGUCGCGCCUCUGGUGUGUACUGGCCCUGUCGGUUUCUCCCUUCUGACGAACCACGAUGUCAUUAAUUUGGUGUCGUGGGAAAUCAGGACUGUUACUUUGAAAAAAUUAGAGUGUUUAAAGCAGGCAUUCGCUUGAAUACAUUAGCAUGGAAUAAUGAAAUAGGACGUUUGAUCUUAUUUUGUUGGUUUCUAAGAUCGACGUAAUGAUUAAUAGGGAUAGUUGGGGGCAUUAGUAUUCAAUUGUCAGAGGUGAAAUUCUUGGAUUUAUUGAAGACUAACUACUGCGAAAGCAUUUGCCAAGGAUGUUUUCAUUAAUCAAGAACGAAAGUUAGGGGAUCGAAGACGAUCAGAUACCGUCGUAGUCUUAACCAUAAACUAUGCCGACUAGGGAUCGGAUGAUGUUAAUUUUUAAUGUACUCAUUCGGCGCCUUA
Molecule: ribosomal RNA, 520 nt
Filed under: uncultured Glomus
Lineage: Eukaryota; Fungi; Glomeromycota; Glomeromycetes; Glomerales; Glomeraceae
Description: SSU rRNA
Rfam family: Eukaryotic small subunit ribosomal RNA
Source: RNAcentral